UACGUACUGUGCGAACGUUAUUCGGAAUCACUGGGCUUAAAGGGUGCGUAGGCGGUCAUUUAAGUAGGGUGUGAAAUCCCCCGGCUCAACCGGGGAACUGCGCUCUAAACUGGAUGGCUUGAGUAAGAUAGGGGUGUGCGGAACUUCCGGUGGAGCGGUGAAAUGUGUUGAUAUCGGAAGGAACACCAGUAGCGAAAGCGGCACACUGGGUCUUAACUGACGCUGAGGCACGAAAGCUAGGGUAGCGAACGGG
Molecule: ribosomal RNA, 253 nt
Filed under: uncultured bacterium
Lineage: Bacteria
Description: partial 16S ribosomal RNA
Rfam family: Bacterial small subunit ribosomal RNA
Source: RNAcentral